This 505-nucleotide ribosomal RNA is filed under the name uncultured bacterium. Its description in RNAcentral is "bacterial SSU rRNA". It matches the Rfam family "Bacterial small subunit ribosomal RNA", at positions 272 to 769 of the family's 1533-position model. The record is from RNAcentral.
GGCGACGAUCCGUAGCGGGUCUGAGAGGAUGAUCCGCCACACUGGGACUGAGACACGGCCCAGACUCCUACGGGAGGCAGCAGUGGGGAAUUUUGGACAAUGGGCGCAAGCCUGAUCCAGCCAUGCCGCGUGAGUGAAGAAGGCCUUCGGGUUGUAAAGCUCUUUCGGCCGGAAGAAAUCGUGGUCUCUAACAUAGGCCAUGGAUGACGGUACCGGACUAAGAAGCACCGGCUAACUACGUGCCAGCAGCCGCGGUAAUACGUAGGGUGCGAGCGUUAAUCGGAAUUACUGGGCGUAAAGCGUGCGCAGGCGGUUUUGUAAGACAGAUGUGAAAUCCCCGGGGCUUAACCUGGGAACUGCGUUUGUGACUGCAAGGCUAGAGUACGGCAGAGGGGGGUGGAAUUCCUGGUGUAGCAGUGAAAUGCGUAGAGAUCAGGAGGAACACCGAUGGCGAAGGCAGCCCCCUGGGCCUGUACUGACGCUCAUGCACGAAAGCGUGGGGAGC